This 465-nucleotide ribosomal RNA is filed under the name uncultured bacterium. RNAcentral's name for it is "partial 16S ribosomal RNA". It matches the Rfam family "Bacterial small subunit ribosomal RNA", at positions 28 to 507 of the family's 1533-position model. The record is from RNAcentral.
GACGAACGCUGGCGGCGUGCUUAACACAUGCAAGUCGAACGGAAAGGCCCUGCUUGCAGGGUACUCGAGUGGCGAACGGGUGAGUAACACGUGGGUGAUCUGCCCUGCACUUCGGGAUAAGCCUGGGAAACUGGGUCUAAUACCGGAUAGGAGCCAUUUUUAGUGUGAUGGUUGGAAAGUUUUUUCGGUGUAGGAUGAGCUCGCGGCCUAUCAGCUUGUUGGUGGGGUAAUGGCCUACCAAGGCGGCGACGGGUAGCCGGCCUGAGAGGGUGGACGGCCACAUUGGGACUGGGAUACGGCCCAGACUCCUACGGGAGGCAGCAGUGGGGAAUAUUGCACAAUGGGCGCAAGCCUGAUGCAGCGACGCCGCGUGGGGGAUGACGGCCUUCGGGUUGUAAACUCCUUUCGCUAGGGACGAAGCUUUUUGUGACGGUACCUAGAGAAGAAGCACCGGCUAACUACGUG